RNAcentral lists this ribosomal RNA (162 nucleotides) under uncultured bacterium. RNAcentral describes it as "partial 16S ribosomal RNA". It matches the Rfam family "Bacterial small subunit ribosomal RNA", at positions 314 to 504 of the family's 1533-position model. The record is from RNAcentral.
CCGCGGUAAAACGCGUUACUCCUACGGGAGGCAGCAGUGGGGAAUAUUGGACAAUGGGCGCAAGCCUGAUCCAGCAAUGCCGCGUGAGUGAUGAAGGCCUUAGGGUUGUAAAGCUCUUUCGCUCGCGACGCGGUAGCGGGAGAAGAAGCCCCGGCUAACUUC